AACGCGAAGAACCUUACCUACCCUUGACAUCUAUAGAAUUUUGCAGAGAUGCGAAAGUGCCGAAAGGAGCUAUAAGACAGGUGCUGCAUGGCUGUCGUCAGCUCGUGUUGUGAGAUGUUGGGUUAAGUCCCGUAACGAGCGCAACCCUUAUCCUUAGUUGCCAACAUGUGAUGGUGGGGACUCUAAGGAGACUGCUGGUGAUGAACCGGAGGAAGGCGGGGACGACGUCAAGUCAUCAUGGCCUUUAUGGGUAGGGCUACACACGUGCUACAAUGGGGCGUACAGAGGGAAGCGAAGCUGCGAAGCGGAGCCAAUCCCAGAAAGCGUCUCGUAGUCCGGAUUGAAGUCUGCAACUCGACUUCAUGAAGUCGGAAUCGCUAGUAAUCGCGAAUCAGAAUGUCGCGGUGAAUACGUUCCCGGGCCUUGUACACACCGCACGA
RNAcentral lists this ribosomal RNA (440 nucleotides) under uncultured bacterium. RNAcentral describes it as "bacterial SSU rRNA". It matches the Rfam family "Bacterial small subunit ribosomal RNA", at positions 958 to 1397 of the family's 1533-position model. The record is from RNAcentral.